Molecule: long non-coding RNA, 360 nt
Organism: Polypterus senegalus (gray bichir)
Lineage: Eukaryota; Metazoa; Chordata; Cladistia; Polypteriformes; Polypteridae
Exons: 3
Source: RefSeq, a predicted model, not a curated record
ACAAGACAGGGGCCAAACAUGGAAGGUGCCACAGUCCACUGCAAGACCACUGACUUAUGCUGAGGACCAAAUGUGGGAAAUUCCUCCUGGCUCCCAUGAAGACAUCACUUCUGGUUCCACCUCCCAAAAAGCCACAGCCCAAUGACCUAAUUUCCAGUUCCUGAUCCAAGAUCCCUCCUCUUCCUGUCGUACAGCUAUAUAUCCACCAUGUGACGUUCUGUUUUGGACUCUUGUCUGUCAUCUGAUGGGAAGACCACCCGAAGCCAACGAGGUUACACUUCCGUCUCCAGACCACACCCUCUUACAGACUUCAUUUCCACCUGUCCCCGCUGGACCCUCCUCUUCUUUCCCACAACCUAU